GCAGUCGAACGGUAACAUAAAGAAGCUUGCUUCUUUGAUGACGAGUGGCGGACGGGUGAGUAAUGCUUGGGAAUCUAGCUUAUGGAGGGGGAUAACUACGGGAAACUGUAGCUAAUACCGCGUAAUAUCGAAAGAUUAAAGUGUGGGACCUUCGGGCCACAUGCCAUAGGAUGAGCCCAAGUGGGAUUAGGUAGUUGGUGAGGUAAAGGCUCAACAAGCCGACGAUCUCUAGCUGGUCUGAGAGGAUGACCAGCCACACUGGGACUGAGACACGGCCCAGACUCCUACGGGAGGCAGCAGUGGGGAAUAUUGCGCAAUGGGGGCAACCCUGACGCAGCCAUGCCGCGUGAAUGAAGAAGGCCUUCGGGUUGUAAAGUUCUUUCGGUAGCGAGGAAGGCAUUUAGUUUAAUAGACUAGGUGAUUGACGUUAACUACAGAAGAAGCACCGGCUAACUCCGUGCCAGCAGCCGCGGUAAUACGGAGGGUGCGAGCGUUAAUCGGAAUAACUGGGCGUAAAGGGCACGCAGGCGGUGACUUAAGUGAGGUGUGAAAGCCCCGGGCUUAACCUGGGAAUUGCAUUUCAUACUGGGUCGCUAGAGUACUUUAGGGAGGGGUAGAAUUCCACGUGUAGCGGUGAAAUGCGUAGAGAUGUGGAGGAAUACCGAAGGCGAAGGC
RNAcentral lists this ribosomal RNA (675 nucleotides) under uncultured bacterium. RNAcentral's name for it is "bacterial SSU rRNA". It matches the Rfam family "Bacterial small subunit ribosomal RNA", at positions 57 to 722 of the family's 1533-position model. The record is from RNAcentral.